CACCCCCCAACCAGAGGGGAUCCCAACUCUCUCCAUUCCCACCACCCCCAACCCUUUCCUCCCCCUGCAGCUCCCCCUCGGAAUCCACCUCGGAAUCGCGCUCCCGGUCCCGCUCCCCAUCCCCCGGCCACGAGGAGAAGAUCACCUUCAUCACCAGCUUCGGGGGCAGUGACGAGGAAGCCGCCUCCGCUCAAUCCGCCGCCGGCGUUCCCGGGAAAACCGGCGCUCUGGGAAAAGCGCGCUGCGGUGCCGGGCAGCCGGGCAGUGCCACCGCAGGUCAUAGCGCCUCGUCCCGGCGCCGCUCUUCGUCCUCCUCCUCCUCGCCCUCCUCCUCCUCGUCCUCCAGCUCCCGCUCCAGCUCCCGUUCGCACCGCGCCGGCCCCUACCACCGCUCCGGCCGCUACCGCCGCUCCCGCAGCCGCCGCUAUUCCCGCUCGCGCUCCCGCAGCCGCCGUUAUUCGGGGGGGGGCUCGCGCGACAGCCGCCGCCGCUCCCGCUCCUAUUCCCCGGACCGAGGUUAUCGCUACAGCUCCCGACGCCGCUCCCGGUGCGUCCCCGCCGUGGGGUUUUCCGUUUCGGGGAUGGGGUGGUUAGGUCAGAACAACUGAAUUCCCCCCAAAUUGCAGCUGUAGGGACCCCAGACUGUCUCCAUUGUCCCCAGAGGGGAUUAUGGAUAUUCCCCCCCCCCAUUUGCCCCAGGUUGCAGCUGUCUGGACCCCAGAGUGCCGCUCUGUGCCCCAAAUUCCCCAUUAUUUGCCCCAGAUUGCAGCCCCAGAGCCCUUCAGCGUCCCCAUGUGCCCCAGAGUCUCCUGGGUCUGAACAGACAGCCCCAGAAGCCCCAAAUUCCCCAAGAUUUGCCCCAAGUCAUCCCUAUGGGCCCCAGUACAGCCCUGUGUGCCCCAAAUCCUACUUACUUGCCCCAAAUUCCCCUUUUUUGCCCCCCAAAUUUCCCCCAUGGCCCCAGUGGCAGUCCCAAGCCUCCCUUAUUUGCCCCAAAUCCCACUUAAUUUGCCUCAAAAUGUCCCCCUGGACUGGUUGGGUCAACUGCAAAGAUUGGGUUGGGUCGACUGGGAAGAACUCACGUUAGGACAAGACCCCAGUUGGACAACUGGGAAGAACCCGCCUUGGGACAAGACCCCAGUUAGUCAACUGGGAAGACCCCCAUUUGGAAAAGACGCCACAGUUGGUCAACUGGGAAGACCCCACACUGGUACAAGAUCCCAGUUGGUCAAUGGGGAUAAUCCCAUGCUGGGGGAAGAUCGCAGUUGGUCAACUGGGAAGACCCUGUGUUGGGUCAACUGAGAAAGACCCCAUGUUGGGACAAGACUCCAGUUGGUCAACUGGGAUGACCCUGUAUUGGGGCAAGACCCCAGUUGGUUAACUGGGAUAAUCCCAUGCUGGGGGAAGAUCGCAGUUGAUCAACUGGGAAGACCCUGUGUUGGGUCAACUGGGAAGACCCUGUGGUGGGACAAGACCCCAGUUGGUCAACUGGGAUGACCCUGCAUUGGGGCAAAACCCCAGUUGGUCAACUGGGAUAAUCCGAUGCUGGGGGAAGAUCGCAGAUGGUCAACUGGGAAAGACCGCACACUGGUACAAGACCCCAGUUGGUCAACUGGGAAGACCCCAUGUUGGGACAAGACCCCAGUUGGUCAACUGGGAAGACCCCACACUAGGACAAGACCCCAGUUGGUCAACUGGGAAGACCCCACACUAGGACAAGACCCCA
Molecule: long non-coding RNA, 1726 nt
Organism: Numida meleagris (helmeted guineafowl)
Lineage: Eukaryota; Metazoa; Chordata; Aves; Galliformes; Numididae
Source: Ensembl